This 759-nucleotide long non-coding RNA is filed under the name Homo sapiens (human). Its description in RNAcentral is "long non-coding RNA NONHSAT151232.1". The record is from RNAcentral. Lineage: Eukaryota; Metazoa; Chordata; Mammalia; Primates; Hominidae.
GAACAAGCGGCCGCCCAAGCUGGGCCAGAUCGGCCGGAGCAAGCGGGGUGAUUGUUAUUGAAGAUGAUAGGAUUGAUGACGUGCUGAAAAAUAUGACCGACAAGGCACCUCCUGGUGUCUAACUCCCCCAAAGACAAUGAGUUAAGGGAGAGAAUAAGAACGGCGGUAACAGUUAUUGGCAAAAAGCAUGAAAAGAGAAAGCACUUUGAAAUUUAUUACUAGCUUGCUACCCACGAUGAAAUCAACAACCUGUAUCUGGUAUCAGGCCGGGAGACAGAUGAGGCGAGAGGAGGAGGAGGAGGAGGAGAAGGCUCUGGGCUCCUCUGCAAAAAUAAAAAUAAAAAAAUAAAUAAAAUUUUAAAAAUAAUAAAAAUUCACUAUAUACACAUAUAAAGAAAUAAAAAGAAGUCUCAGUUGCAGCUAUUUGUCAAAAUUAAUAUCCAUUUCUUUUUAUAUACGGUGAAUAUUGCGCAAUUAUAGAUCUGGAUUUUGAACCACUUAAUGAAGCGGCAACACCAGGUGUUUUGAGGUGUUGGCAUUCUUCGCUGAUUUGGCUGUUCCCAAUGUUUACAUUAUUUAAUCUUGCAAAAAUGGUUCUGUGCACUUGGAUGUGAAAUGCUGUCCAGUUUUAUUUUUUUUAUGUUGUUAUCCUUGGAUGUACAAAAAAUUCAGAAAAUGAUCUCUGUAGAUAUUCUGUUUUAUUUUGGUCAUCUUUAGAAGUUAUCAGGAAUGUGUUUAAAACAAGAAGAGAACUUUUCU